Long non-coding RNA from Acanthopagrus latus (yellowfin seabream), 447 nucleotides. RefSeq lists it as uncharacterized. The record is from RefSeq and is a predicted model, not a curated record. The transcript has 3 exons. Lineage: Eukaryota; Metazoa; Chordata; Actinopteri; Spariformes; Sparidae.
CUGCUCUGAAGACGAAAUGCUGCUGCUGGUCCAUUUCAACGAGAGGGAUGAGAUGAUGCUUUAUACUGUGGAGGACACCUGUCUGGCAGGAGAAGUCCAGAUGGACAAGCUCCCCUUAACCCCUACCAUUAUUGUGUGUGGUGCUUUUUCUCCAUAAAUUCUGAGAAGGGCACAAAAAUAGAGAAGAGCAGCACCUCCCAUCUACACUUGAACCCCAGAGUCCUAAUGUUGAUCCAAGACUUUUCAGAUCAUGAGUGGCGGGACAUCUGCAUAUGGACUCAAAUUCUUCUUCUCCAUCAACACAGAGGGCAUAAAAGUGGAGAAGAGCAGCAGUUCCCAUCUACACUUGAAGGCCAGAGUCCUCAACUUGACCCAAGAAGGUUUCUUAUGGUUGCUUAGUUACUUGAGCUUGCAUUAUAUACUGUAUGUUACAGAUGAAAAUAUUUG